GCACUGUUGACGAGUCCCAAACAAAACGAAACAGCUGUCCAGCGC
Molecule: non-coding RNA, 45 nt
Organism: Echinostoma caproni
Lineage: Eukaryota; Metazoa; Platyhelminthes; Trematoda; Plagiorchiida; Echinostomatidae
Source: Rfam